GUGAGGUAACGGCUCACGAAGGCAAUGACGGGUAGCGGGUUUGAGAGGAUGAUCCGCCACGCUGGUACUGAGACACGGACCAGACUCCUACGGGAGGCAGCAGUGAGGAAUAUUGCACAAUGGGGGGAACCCUGAUGCAGCAACGCCGCGUGGAGGAUGACGCAUUUCGGUGUGUAAACUCCUUUUAUAUGUCAAGAAAAUGACGGUAGCAUAUGAAUAAGCACCGGCUAACUCCGUGCCAGCAGCCGCGGUAAUACGGAGGGUGCAAGCGUUACUCGGAAUCACUGGGCGUAAAGGACGCGUAGGCUGUUUAGCAAGUCAGAUGUGAAAUCCUAUGGCUUAACCAUAGAACUGCAUUUGAAACUGCUAGACUAGAGUAUGGGAGGGGGAGAUGGAAUUAGUGGUGUA
Molecule: ribosomal RNA, 408 nt
Filed under: uncultured bacterium
Lineage: Bacteria
Description: bacterial SSU rRNA
Rfam family: Bacterial small subunit ribosomal RNA
Source: RNAcentral